CCUACGGGCGGCUGCAGUGGGGAAUAUUGCACAAUGGGGGAAACCCUGAUGCAGCGACGCCGCGUGGGUGAAGGAGCGUUUCGGCUCGUAAAGCCCUGUCUGCAGGGAAGAAGAUGACGGUACCUGACCAAGAAGCCCCGGCUAACUACGUGCCAGCAGCCGCGGUAAUACGUAGGGGGCAAGCGUUAUCCGGAUUUACUGGGUGUAAAGGGGGCGCAGACGGAAAUUCAAGCCAGGAGUGAAAGCCCGGGGCCCAACUCGGGGACUGCUCUUGGAACUGGAUGGCUGGAGUACAGGAGGGGCAGGUGGAAUUCCUAGUGUAGCGGUGAAAUGCGUAGAUAUUAGGAGGAACACCGGUGGCGAAGGCG
RNAcentral lists this ribosomal RNA (368 nucleotides) under uncultured bacterium. Its description in RNAcentral is "partial 16S ribosomal RNA". It matches the Rfam family "Bacterial small subunit ribosomal RNA", at positions 338 to 723 of the family's 1533-position model. The record is from RNAcentral.